GUGGAAAUCAUUCAACCGUUUUGGUUUCACUGGUUUUCGGUCUCUCAGAUUCCUGAAUCUCUUUGUACAGUCUGUCUAUAAAGUCGUGACAUGAAUGUUUGAGGAACUAACAUUAUUCAUGUGUCUGGCAACACCAAAGUUCACCAAACAUAUGUACAUCAGCUGUCAUCGAGAACAAGUUGUGGAACGAUUUUCAUUUUGUGGUUUUUAUUGUUUGACUAAUCUCCAGUAAAUUAUUACUCAGCUACGAAGAAAAGUAUAAACAAUGAGUAAAGUAAAUUGGAGUGCCACGCGGAAAGUGAUUUUUAAAGUUUUCCAGCAAUGUUCCGCGGAGUACCAAGCUGGUCAAAUUUUGUGGGAUUUGGAUGAUGUUUAAGGGCGAACAGCAUCUUUGACGGGAAAAUCAGAGAGUACGGUUAGGCGCAUAGUUAAUGAAGGUUUUCAGAAUAAUGGAAAAUUUAGAAUUCCUGGGAAACACAGGCAAGGCCAACCAAAGAAAGAAAUGGAUAAUUUUAAUAUUUGUGCUCUGCGCCAAUAAAUAUAAUUUUUUUACACGGUACAAAAAGAGGUCACAAAAUGUUCGCAAUCUCUAAACAUCAAACAAAAGACAUUUUCAAAGGAAAGCGUUACAUCAUAGUCCAUGCUGGAAGCGAAAAGGGGUUUGUUUCAAACUGCCUCCUCAUAUUCACUGACAGAAAUAAUUUGGAAGACUACCAUUCAGAAAUGAAUGCGCAUAACUUUACGAAGUGGAUUAAAGAAAAACUAAUACCAAAUCUUCAUGAGCCUUCCAUUAUAGUUAUGGACCUGUACCAAGACAAUUGGUUAUUUGCUUAGGCGAUAAUAGCAACAGUGAAGAUGAUGUGAGUGAUGUCAGCGUUACUUAUGAAGGUGGCAACGAAACUUUUCUUAACAUCGAAUAUUUGGAAUCCGAUGAUGAAAGUGAUUAAUAAAUGUCCUUAUUAAAUAUGUA
Long non-coding RNA from Ostrinia nubilalis (European corn borer), 970 nucleotides. RefSeq lists it as uncharacterized. The transcript is spliced from 3 exons. Lineage: Eukaryota; Metazoa; Arthropoda; Insecta; Lepidoptera; Crambidae. The record is from RefSeq and is a predicted model, not a curated record.